RNA transcript from Salmo salar (Atlantic salmon), 3328 nucleotides. RefSeq lists it as uncharacterized. The record is from RefSeq and is a predicted model, not a curated record. Lineage: Eukaryota; Metazoa; Chordata; Actinopteri; Salmoniformes; Salmonidae.
UUUCAGGAUAGUCACUACUUAUCACAGCCACAAAUUCAGAAUUAUGUCUAACCCCGCCUAUUUCUACAAUUUAGCUUCUUAAAAUAUGAUUUGAAACCUUAACCAUACUGCUAACCGUAUUCCUAACCCUAGCCUUAAAUGAAUACCAAAAAGCAACAUUUUGUUUUCAUACAUUUUUACGUUAAAUCCAAUUCUGACUUUGUGACUGUAGUAAGUAGUGACAACCAUCUUUCGGCUGCAAUGGCGUUUGCUGCGACAGCACUUUCCGGCAGCGGGGAAACCGAGGAGAAAGCAACGACAGGCGUUGGAAGUAAAGACGAAAUUGUUUCGGAAACCCUCGGAUUUAUACAAUUAUCGCCAAAGUGAAGUGAGCUUUGUUUAUAAACCCGUUGACGAAACUAUAUUUCGAGGUUUUUUUCUAACGUACAUUGCCCCCUUGAUGAGGUGGGAUGGCUGCAGUGCCGACUGGGCCUAGCAGCGCAUUGCCAGCAUCCCCGGCUGAAAUUUCUCCCUUCCCCGGGGAUGGGAGCGUGGAACCUGGGGAAGGGGAGCAGCCCGGCUGCGGUUGGGAGGGCUCUGUAACACGACAGGAGCAGCGGAUCAGCGAGGACAAACGGACAAGUAAGAAAAAACUGAAAAACAUGCUAUCGCAUGCUAACCCGACUGCGCUACACCUCAAAUCGCAGGCCCUACAGGAACAGCAGCUGAACGGGUUGGUCAGUCCGUCUGAAGACGGUGAGAUCUACAACCACACAACGGAAAACCGAUCCGACAAUCCGAGACCGUCUAUGGAGCUCUGUGACAGCAGCAGUUUUGGAGACGACCCGAGUGGCAAAAAUAAUAGCGACCAUUGCUGCCAACAUGAGGACCACAGUCCGUGUUCGAAAGGCAGCCGCCACCCUCACUUGAACAACAAUGGCAUGAACGGUAUGUUGACUAUCACAAGAACUGAGGCUUUCCAAAGCCACCCUGUAACCGGACACAGCCCCGGUGGUAACGUUAGGAAAAGGGAAUGUGACCCCACAGAAGCCCCUCGACCACCGAGCCAGCAGCCCCCAGACUGCGAAGGCCUCGGCGAGCACCGGGCUGGAGUAGAGAGUGAACCCGACGUCAUACACCAGCCGCCGGUGUCAGAAUUAGCGAGGCUGGAUCUGAACUGUUCGCCUGACCGAGAAGCGGAAGAGAGCCAGGGGAUUCAUUAUGUCCGCUACAAGUCCGAGUUACAGAUGCCAGGAAUCAUGAGGUUGAUCACCAAGGACUUGUCUGAGCCGUAUUCCAUUUAUACAUAUAGGUACUUCAUCCACAACUGGCCUCAGCUCUGCUUUCUGGCCAUGGUGGAGCAGGAGUGUGUGGGGGCCAUUGUUUGUAAGCUGGACAUGCACAAGAAGAUGUUUCGUCGUGGCUACAUCGCCAUGCUGGCUGUAGACUCCAAACACCGGAGGAAAAGCAUUGGUACUAACCUGGUGAAGAAGGCCAUCUAUGCCAUGGUGGAGGGGGAUUGUGAUGAGGUAAGCGGACUGGUACUGUCUGUCUGAUGGUGACGUCCGAAGGCCCUGUUGUCCCUCUGGGGCCUUCACUCAGCUAGUGGCCCUGACUGUACUUGGCCUGAGGUGGUUCUGGAGACUGAGAUCACUAACAAGUCAGCUCUAAAGUUGUAUGAGAACCUUGGUUUUGUCCGAGACAAGCGGCUCUUCAGAUAUUACCUGAACGGUGUGGACGCACUGAGGCUCAAACUGUGGCUCCGCUAGAGAGAGGAGAGGGAGCAUGACAGGUGCUGCCCUCUUACUGAAGCAGCUCCAGUCUCACUCUCAACCCUGCCCUUGUCUCACACACACACACACACACACACACACACACACACACACACACACACACACACACACACACACAUAUACACACACAGUCAUACACCCAUAUGCACACACACAUCAUCAUACACCCACAAGCAUAGAUUCACCUACAUUUGCAUAUACAUAGGCACAUGCACACUACUCGUACACAGACAUACACAGUACAUACAACCCUCCCUUUUUUGAUCCUUGACAUCUUGGAAAACAGCUCAAGGCUGAACUGGACAGACAGACAGAAAUCCCACAAUGUUUUUAUGAAGAGGCCCUUGCCCUGUUAGCUGUAGGACCCUGUGAGAGGGGGAAGGAAGAGGAGUGUGUGAUGUGGUCUGGUGACCUUUAACCUCAGAACAUUGACCCCCCCCCUCCAACGGAGCAGUAUCUAAGGCAUGAUGUCGAGGGUGAACCCACAAACCUCCGGAGGGCGAUGCAUCACGCAAAAUCACCCACUGGAACACAGGAAAACAGAAGAAGAAUAAUAACACAGGGUGAAAAUAAGGAAGAGGGUGGGAAAACGACAGAUUCGAAGGAAAUAUUUGUGGAGUUUAUUUUUUGUUUAUAUUUUUUAAUCAUGAUUCACCAGGGGGUUGGAAAAGCUAAUGUGUGUGUUCGUGAGAGUGUGUGUUUUGCCUAGGGGUUUGGAAAAGGAAGUGUUCAUGCUAUUGUGUACAUGUGUAAGGGACGUGAAGUAAUGUAGUGGAUGGGUGUGUGUGUGCGCACGCAUGCUUGGUGGGAAUCAUGAGUUGUGCGUGUUAGUGUGCUUUUCUCCCCCUGUCUGUGUUUUCAUUACCCCUACAUUGUGAGACGAACACGCCAGCUGCUUGCUGCUCAGUUUUCAUCCCGUGCCCCAGACCAAGAGCUGGAGCCUGUAAAGAUAUGCAUGCAUUUAUUUUAACAAGAGUGGUGGUAUGAGUGAUGAGUGUGUGUUGAUUAACACUCGGAACAUUGCCCAGUUCCAAACAGGCCCAUAGUCCUAACUCCUAAGCACUUGUGUAGAUCUGAAAGGUAUGGAUAGGUGUAAGCAAUAUGGUGUAAAUUCUUCCUGGCCUGUCAGAGGGAAAGGUGGAGCUAUUACCAUUUUAGUAAUACCUAUUCAAUCAUUUCAGAUACACUUGGUAAGUGCUUAGAGGGGUAAGGAUGAGGGGCCGAUUUGAGAUUGGGCACUUGUGUUGGCCCUUUUUGCAGAUCAAAGCUAAUUUUCCCAAAAUGCACUGCCAGCCACUGGAACAUUGCUCAAAAAUCUCCUGAGAAAGAUAAAUCAUUAUUGACAAAGGAGAAGUUUGGGCUCGGAAAAUAUUUCCCUGUUGCAGUUUGUUCAUUCAAAUUCCUCCUAACUUGGAGAGUAUUUUUCCAAGCACCCCUCUGUCUUUCAAUCAUCACAGUUGUCUAUGAAUGAACAACAUGCAGAGCACUGGAGUCCUGUUUCAGUAUGGCAAAGUGUCAGGCUGGAGUAAUAGUGUUAUUAAAUAUGCUGGAUUCCU